This 395-nucleotide small RNA is filed under the name Pongo abelii (Sumatran orangutan). RNAcentral describes it as "retained intron". The record is from RNAcentral. Lineage: Eukaryota; Metazoa; Chordata; Mammalia; Primates; Hominidae.
ACCAUUGCAUAAGGAGUAUAAAGACUUUUCCCUGUAGUUAUCUUACAGACUGGAGAGAGUGCUAGUGAAUGCUUUUGUCUUCAAUGCCCAUCUCUUGGAAAUGUUGAAGGUGGAGUAGCAACCGGGCAUUAUAUUAUCUCUUGGAAACGGACCUCAGCAAUGGAGAAUAUCCCCGUCAUCACAACUGUCAUCACUCUGCCGCACGUGAUUGUGGAGAAUAUCCCUCUCCAUGUGAAUGCAGUGUGUCAUCUUUCUCUGUAGAUCUGCCAUCAUUUGGGCGUGUCAGAGAGUCCUUGCCUGUCAAGUAUCACCUACAGAAUAAGACCGACUUAGUUCAAGAUGUAGAAAUUUCUGUGGAGCCCAGUGAUGCCUUCAUGUUCUCAGGUCUCAAACAG